GUUGAGCGUCUAGCCCAGCUCAGCGUGACUUCCGCCAGCGUUUAGAACGUUUUCGGGGUCCGAGUUGAAGAGCAAAACCAAGUGAAGGAAACUUCACUAAGUUCAGGGUGACAAGGGAGGAAGUACAGAGAAACAGAGCGCUUAAAAAGCACUGUCUGGAUAUCUUCAGAGGGAAAAAGGAGAAAGUUAACUGAAUUGGUGACACUUCGGGUCUCUCACAGAGGAAGGGAAAUGGUUAUUCUUGAUAUUUUGAGCAAACUCUUCUUCUCUGUUUGAUCAGUGCCCAGAACAAGGAAACAGGGCCAAGGAGAUUAAGAUCAAGUUGGGAAUUCUCCUCCAGAAGCCAGACUCAGUUGGUGACCUUGUCAUUCCGUACAAUGAGAAGCCAGAGAAACCAGCCAAGACCCAGAAACCCUCGCUGGACGAGUCCCUGCAGUGGCGUGAUUCCCUGGACAAACUCCUGCAGAACAACUAUGGACUUGCCAGUUUCAAAAGUUUCCUGAAGUCUGAAUUCAGUGAGGAAAACCUUGAGUUCUGGAUUGCCUGUGAGGAUUACAAGAAGAUCAAGUCCCCUGCCAAG
Molecule: small RNA, 580 nt
Filed under: Pan troglodytes (chimpanzee)
Lineage: Eukaryota; Metazoa; Chordata; Mammalia; Primates; Hominidae
Description: processed transcript
Source: RNAcentral